GAGAACAUUACCCAUGUAACAUGGAUGGAAGAACCACACACUUUAAUAAUACCAAAUUUGCAAGACCUCUGUGGGUCUAACUGAAUAUAAGGAAAAAGUAUGAAGAUAAUUCAGAACUGAACCAGGUUGGAGAUAGAAUUGGAAUUUCUGUCCUCAGAGGUUUCUAAAAUCCAAGUGGAAAAAGCCCUGAGGACCCUGUUCUGAAUUCAGCUGAUGCUGUUUUGGGGAGUUUGUUGGUUUGGAUAUCUCUUCCAGUCUGUAGGAAUCCACUGUUUGUGUGCAGCCUGCCAUUUCAGCAGUCACCAGUGAUACCUGUGUGCAGGGCAACCAGUGCCAGAAAUACCUCGAGCAAAGGCAAAAGGGAGUGCAGAGCGCUGCUCACAUUCUGCAGUUCAAAGCUGGAUGUACUAUGCAGGCAUGAAGUUCACACAGGAGCAGUAACACUGAGACAGUGCCAAGGCUUUUGUUGUUUCUGCCCCUGCCCUGCCCUGCUAGAGAAGCACAGAGUAAGCAGAAGCACCACGUCCUCCCCUCUAACUGACCACGGGCUGCCCCACCAGAAAAGAGAUGAGCAGAAACACUGUGGGCAGUAUGAGCACAGGAACACUGCAUCUGCAGAGAGAAGGCUCAUAACAGCUGCUUCAGAGGGGAUGCAACCACUUUGCUCCAGGCAGAGGCAGCACAUCUGUGGACACUGGAAUUCCCAGGACAUGGUAGUUGAGCUGCCCGGUUUGGAUGAGAGCCAGUAUUUCAUUGAAGAGUAAUUCUGGUAUUGAAGUACAUAUUUGAGUUUAAAAAAUCCAAACAAUCAACACUCACACCAAGUUGUGAAACUCUACUUGGUGUUGGCUUUGUCUUAAAACAGCUUUCUAAAACUCUGAAUGGAGAAAGAAACAAUAAAACCAAAGAAAUUUUAUUGAGCACUCAGAGUUCUUGGCCAUAUUGCAACAUAAUAGGAAAAAAAAUUUUUUCCCUCUAGAGGUUAGAAAACAGGGCUAUCUGUCUAAAGAGAAACUGCAUAUUGAAACUGUAACUGACUUUAAUUCUGGAUACAUUCCUUAAAUCCAUAAUGGAGCUUGGAAAAACUCCCAAAGACUGGCAGUUUAGAUCUCCCGAGCCUACCCAUCAUUUAAGACACUGAAGACAAGCCAGCUCAGAUUUUUGAAGACAACAAAUCUCAGGAUCUAUGUUCUUAGACCUCAAUCUUCAGCAUGAGUUUCCAUUUGUGUUACUGAAUGUAUCAUCACUGUUAAGGUUUCUAAGAUAACCUUACAAAACCCCUAUAGAUCCGAACAAAAAAGGGAAUCUCCCAAAGAGGUGCUCAGACAAUCCGAGAGAUGCAUUUCCAUUUGGAUGGGGCUGCAGAUGGAAUCUAGCAUUGCUCCACAGCUGCCUUUUUCAUACCAGCAGUGUGAAAGCUGAGCUGCAGAGUAAGCACACCACUAACUGAGACUCUUACAGAAAAGUGCAGUAACAAUAAGCUGGGAUUCAGUUACCAAAUGGUGUAAUACUGCACAUCCUUCACUUCUGUACAUGUUAGAAGAAACGUGGAGCAUUAUUGUCAGGGAGCCCACUGCUUUCUUAUAGAUUCAAUUAAUUUAAUUUUACUGUGAUUUGAGAACACCUUUUGCCAAAGUGAAACCAUUACAUUAGCUAGAAGCAAAAGACCUAUUAGCAGAACUUAUUAGAUUAUGUGUCCGGAUAUUAUCUUUAUCAUGGUCUUCUACCUAUUGAGUAGAAUAUUUAAGAGGUAACGCUGAACCACCACUAGGUUUUAUUUCAUUAAUUCAACACCCCCAGAUACACUGCACGUCCUUUUUCACCUGCAUGUGGAUAAAAAUAUCUAACACUUGUAGUGCAGGUAAAGUGUCAAUAUUUUCUUAUUCCACAAGACACAGUAAUUUUAAUGAAAAAAGGUUUUGCAUUCCACAGGAUGGCUUUUACAACACCAGGGAAGAGAUGGGAGAUCAACAUCUCAGAUGUCACACCUAGCAAUGUGCAUAAUCCUAAAAUAAUGAGGCUCUUUCAGCACUUUGUUAUGCAGACAAUUGAAAGCAUAGGUGAUACUGACAGAUGGUUUCAUGCUUCAACACUGGCAACAGCUGCAGCAGUUCAGAGUAAAAUGUGUUUUUCCGGAAAUAUUUGCUGUAAUACUGUGAGAUGAUUCAUGUUUGACCAAACAUUUUGCAUUAAUACCCAUACAGAUUCUCUUGGUGUUUCUUCAGCUCUUUUUUCCUUGAACUCUUUGCUGUAUAUACAGUUCAAGACCCUGAGAUGUAACUCAUCUGCUUUAGAAAGGAAUUGGACUACAGACACUGAGAGAAGGCCCUAAUAACUAAAUUCUUCUAUGAUGCUACAGGCAGGUGCUCCAGGUAGCUGCUGGCACCGUGUGCACCAUCACAGUCUCCUGUACCUGCUCUGCACUCAACUAGAACAGUCACAGUUCUUUAGUGUUAAACCUUAAAUUUGGAAGUCCAAAAUUUCAGUUCAUCUCUUGAUAAGAAUUUGGAUCUUGGGGGAUUUGCACUCAGUAAGGACGUGCUGGGUACCUAUCCUAACGUGAUCCUCUCUCUUGAUCAUCUUGAAGCUGAGUGUGAGAUUUGCCAGAAGUUCCCUUGAUUGUUCUGCCUCUCAAAGGUGAGAGUUGAUGGCUUUGCAGUGGUAUCAGCUGCCUCCCUCAGCUCCCCUGGAUUCACAGGGUUUGGUUCCACAGACACCUGGGUCCAAACAGCUUUGAAACUGUUUCCUCUACUGUGGGUAGUUGCUCAUUCUCACAGACCUCCCUAGUGAGGGCUCAGGGACGAGGGAAAGCAAGUCUCACACCCAAGAGUGAAGCAGAGAUGACCUCUGCCUUUUCCAUGCCCUUGUCAAUAGAAUUCCUGCCCCACUGAGCAGCUGGAAAGCCUACGGAAAAUGUGCUCUUUUGCUGCCAGCAUACUUUUGAAAAGCUCUUCAUAUUUGUCUUUAUAGCCCUCAACAUUUUCAGUGCCAUUUGAGCUUUAGUUUCCCUAAUUUCUCUUCUGAAUGUUUGGUCAAUAUCCUUUCAUUUCACACAAGUAACCCAUACCCUCCUUCCACCUUUUUUUUGCUUCUUUCUGCAGCUGAGCUUAGGCAAGAAUUCUUGUUUAC
Molecule: long non-coding RNA, 3129 nt
Organism: Prinia subflava (tawny-flanked prinia)
Lineage: Eukaryota; Metazoa; Chordata; Aves; Passeriformes; Cisticolidae
Exons: 3
Source: RefSeq, a predicted model, not a curated record